Molecule: ribosomal RNA, 189 nt
Filed under: Heliconia sp. Kress 965694 AF
Lineage: Eukaryota; Viridiplantae; Streptophyta; Magnoliopsida; Zingiberales; Heliconiaceae
Description: partial 26S ribosomal RNA
Rfam family: Eukaryotic large subunit ribosomal RNA
Source: RNAcentral
GUCAGGCGGGGCCACCCGCCGAGUUUAAGCAUAUAAAUAAGCGGAGGAGAAGAAACUUACGAGGAUUCCCCUAGUAACGGCGAGCGAACCGGGAUCAGCCCAGCUUGAGAAUCGGGCGGCCGCGCCGUCCGAAUUGUAGUCUGGAGAAGCGUCCUCAGCGACGGACCGGGCCCAAGUCCCCUGGAAAGG